AGUCGAACGGAAAGGCCCUGCUUUUGUGGGGUGCUCGAGUGGCGAACGGGUGAGUAACACGUGAGUAACCUGCCCUUGACUUUGGGAUAACUUCAGGAAACUGGGGCUAAUACCGGAUAGGAGCUCCUGCUGCAUGGUGGGGGUUGGAAAGUUUCGGCGGUUGGGGAUGGACUCGCGGCUUAUCAGCUUGUUGGUGGGGUAGUGGCUUACCAAGGCUUUGACGGGUAGCCGGCCUGAGAGGGUGACCGGCCACAUUGGGACUGAGAUACGGCCCAGACUCCUACGGGAGGCAGCAGUGGGGAAUAUUGCACAAUGGGCGGAAGCCUGAUGCAGCAACGCCGCGUGCGGGAUGACGGCCUUCGGGUUGUAAACCGCUUUCGCCUGUGACGAAGCGUGAGUGACGGUAAUGGGUAAAGAAGCACCGGCUAACUACGUGCCAGCAGCCGCGGUGAUACGUAGGGUGCGAGCGUUGUCCGGAUUUAUUGGGCGUAAAGGGCUCGUAGGUGGUUGAUCGCGUCGGAAGUGUAAUCUUGGGGCUUAACCCUGAGCGUGCUUUCGAUACGGGUUGACUUGAGGAAGGUAGGGGAGAAUGGAAUUCCUGGUGGAGCGGUGGAAUGCGCAGAUAUCAGGAGGAACACCAGUGGCGAAGGCGGUUCUCUGGGCCUUUCCUGACGCUGAGGAGCGAAAGCGUGGGGAGCGAACAGGCUUAGAUACCCUGGUAGUCCACGCUGUAAACGGUGGGUACUAGGUGUGGGGUCCAUUCCACGGGUUCCGUGCCGUAGCUAACGCUUUAAGUACCCCGCCUGGGGAGUACGGCCGCAAGGCUAAAACUCAAAGGAAUUGACGGGGCCCCGCACAAGCGGCGGAGCAUGCGGAUUAAUUCGAUGCAACGCGUAGAACCUUACCUGGGUUUGACAUGGAUCGGGAGUGCUCAGAGAUGGGUGUGCCUCUUUUGGGGUCGGUUCACAGGUGGUGCAUGGCUGUCGUCAGCUCGUGUCGUGAGAUGUUGGGUUAAGUCCCGCAACGAGCGCAACCCUUGUUCACUGUUGCCAGCACGUUAUGGUGGGGACUCAGUGGAGACCGCCGGGGUCAACUCGGAGGAAGGUGGGGAUGACGUCAAGUCAUCAUGCCCCUUAUGUCCAGGGCUUCACGCAUGCUACAAUGGCUGGUACAGAGAGUGGCGAGCCUGUGAGGGUGAGCGAAUCUCGGAAAGCCGGUCUCAGUUCGGAUUGGGGUCUGCAACUCGACCUCAUGAAGUCGGAGUCGCUAGUAAUCGCAGAUCAGCAACGCUGCGGUGAAUACGUUCCCGGGGCUUGUACACACCGCCCGUCAAGUCAUGAAAGUUGGUAACACCCGAAGCCGGUGGCCUAACCGUUG
RNAcentral lists this ribosomal RNA (1377 nucleotides) under Cutibacterium acnes. RNAcentral describes it as "bacterial SSU rRNA". It matches the Rfam family "Bacterial small subunit ribosomal RNA". Lineage: Bacteria; Bacillati; Actinomycetota; Actinomycetes; Propionibacteriales; Propionibacteriaceae. The record is from RNAcentral.